GAUGAACGCUGGCGGCGUGCCUAAUACAUGCAAGUCGAGCGAACAGACGAGGAGCUUGCUCCUCUGACGUUAGCGGCGGACGGGUGAGUAACACGUGGAUAACCUACCUCUAAGACUGGGACAACUUCGGGAAACCGGAGCUAAUACCGGAUAAUAUAUUGAACCGCAUGGUUCAAUAGUGAAAGACGGUUUUGCUGUCACUUAUGGAUGGAUCCGCGCCGCAUUAGCUAGUUGGUAAGGUAACGGCUUACCAAGGCGACGAUGCGUAGCCGACCUGAGAGAGUGCUCGGCCACACUGGAACUGAGACACGGUCCAGACUCCUACGGGAGGCAGCAGUAGGGAAUCUUCCGCAAUGGGCGAAAGCCUGACGGAGCAACGCCGCGUGAGUGAUGAAGGUCUUCGGAUCGUAAAACUCUGUUAUUAGGGAAGAACAAAUGUGUAAGUAACUAUGUACGUCUUGACGGUACCUAAUCAGAAAGCCACGGCUAACUACGUGCCAGCCGCCGCCAACA
Molecule: ribosomal RNA, 513 nt
Filed under: uncultured bacterium
Lineage: Bacteria
Description: partial 16S ribosomal RNA
Rfam family: Bacterial small subunit ribosomal RNA
Source: RNAcentral